GUCGAGUGGUAUAUGUCUUCGGAUAUAGAGACCGGCGCACGGGUGCGUAACGCGUAUGCAAUCUACCUUUUACAGAGGGAUAGCCCAGAGAAAUUUGGAUUAAUACCUCAUAGCAUAGUGACUCCGCAUCAAGCAGCUAUUAAAGUCACAACGGUAAAAGAUGAGCAUGCGUCCCAUUAGCUAGUUGGUAAGGUAACGGCUUACCAAGGCUACGAUGGGUAGGGGUCCUGAGAGGGAGAUCCCCCACACUGGUACUGAGACACGGACCAGACUCCUACGGGAGGCAGCAGUGAGGAAUAUUGGACAAUGGGCGCAAGCCUGAUCCAGCCAUGCCGCGUGCAGGAUGACGGUCCUAUGGAUUGUAAACUGCUUUUGUACGAGAAGAAACACUCCUACGUGUAGGAGCUUGACGGUAUCGUAAGAAUAAGGAUCGGCUAACUCCGUGCCAGCAGCCGCGGUAAUACGGAGGAUCCAAGCGUUAUCCGGAAUCAUUGGGUUUAAAGGGUCCGUAGGCGGUUUAGUAAGUCAGUGGUGAAAGCCCAUCGCUCAACGGUGGAACGGCCAUUGAUACUGCUAAACUUGAAUUAUUAGGAAGUAACUAGAAUAUGUAGUGUAGCGGUGAAAUGCUUAGAGAUUACAUGGAAUACCAAUUGCGAAGGCAGGUUACUACUAAUGGAUUGACGCUGAUGGACGAAAGCGUGGGUAGCGAACAGGAUUAGAUACCCUGGUAGUCCACGCCGUAAACGAUGGAUACUAGCUGUUGGAAGCAAUUUCAGUGUCUAAGCGAAAGUGAUAAGUAUCCCACCUGGGGAGUACGUUCGCAGGAAUGAAACUCAAGGUAUUGACGGGGGCCCGCACAGCGGUGGAGCAUGUGGUUUAAUUCGAUGAUACGCGAGGAACCU
This 902-nucleotide ribosomal RNA is filed under the name Flavobacterium sp. a27. RNAcentral describes it as "bacterial SSU rRNA". It matches the Rfam family "Bacterial small subunit ribosomal RNA", at positions 61 to 971 of the family's 1533-position model. Lineage: Bacteria; Pseudomonadati; Bacteroidota; Flavobacteriia; Flavobacteriales; Flavobacteriaceae. The record is from RNAcentral.